AUGGCUAGCCCUUUCCCCCCUCCUUUGUCUCCUAACUUUGAGGUUCUUCACUUCAAACAGAGACAAGGAGAAAAUUUAAAAUAUGCUUGCUACAGGAUGAUAGAAUCAUAUUGUAAUUUCACUAUAGAGGGGGAUUUUGAGAUUUUGCUUCAUAAUUUUUAUGCUGGGCUAAACAUGUCCGAUAGGCAACUCUUGGAUUUCGCGGCUAAGGGGAAUUUUAUUGAAAUUGAUCCCAACAUUGCAUACGAUAUUAUAGAGGGAGUAGUAGGAAUACUACCCCCACAAAAGGGAUUACAUCACACUCAAGAAGGAACACAAGUUUUUCAGAAACUAUGUGAAGUAACGAAAAUUUUGCAAAAAUCUCUUGAACCCCUCAAAAAUGUUAGUGGAAACCUUCACCACAUGAAUAUGUUGAUCACUCUUUGCAAUAAGCGCUUGGAUGCUCUAGAUCUUAAGAUUUCCGGAUUUGAGCGGAAAUGCAAAGAACCUCCCGAUUCGAGCAUAAUUCCAUUAAAAUGA
This 519-nucleotide ribosomal RNA is filed under the name Triticum aestivum (bread wheat). RNAcentral's name for it is "partial small subunit ribosomal RNA". Lineage: Eukaryota; Viridiplantae; Streptophyta; Magnoliopsida; Poales; Poaceae. The record is from RNAcentral.